Molecule: ribosomal RNA, 508 nt
Filed under: uncultured bacterium
Lineage: Bacteria
Description: partial 16S ribosomal RNA
Rfam family: Bacterial small subunit ribosomal RNA
Source: RNAcentral
UGGGGAAUAUUGCACAAUGGGCGAAAGCCUGAUGCAGCAACGCCGCGUGAGUGAUGAAGGCCUUCGGGUUGUAAAGCUCUGUCUUUUGGGACGAUAAUGACGGUACCAAAGGAGGAAGCCACGGCUAACUACGUGCCAGCAGCCGCGGUAAUACGUAGGUGGCAAGCGUUGUCCGGAUUUACUGGGCGUAAAGGAUGCGUAGGCGGAUUUUUAAGUGAGAUGUGAAAACCCUAAGCUUAACUUGGGGACUGCAUUUCAUACUGGAAAAUCUAGAGUGCGGGAGAGGAGAAUGGAAAUUCCUAGUGUAGCGGUGAAAAUGCGUAGAGAUUAGGAAGAACACCAGUGGCGAAGGCGAUUCUCUGGACCGUAACUGACGCUGAGGCAUGAAAAGCGUGGGUAGCAAAACAGGAUUAGAUACCCUGGUAGUCCACGCCGUAAACGAUGAGUACUAGGUGUAGGAGGUAUCGACCCCUUCUGUGCCGCAGUUAACACAAUAAGUACUCCGCCU